ACUUGUCAUAGUUGCAAAUAUCCGUUUCAUAAAAGCAAUAACAAAUUGUUAUCGUAAAUAAAAAUAAAUAAAUGAAAAAUAGUUCGUGAACGAGCCUGAUUUGCAGCUAACAGCCGGUUUUUUUCUUCACACACGUCGUCUGCGAUAAAAUUUUGAUGGUGACAGAAUUGAAGUAAAAUUUGAAUCGGAGAUAUGGCAGCAGGAGCAAAUGUUGGUCGUGAUGAGGCGUAUACCACCAUCAACAAUGCUGCAAUUGCAGUCACCACCACCACUGCUGCCACCACCAUCAGUGCUACUAAUGCCACCACCACCAAGUCUGCUUCUGCCACUGCCAUCACCAUUGCCACCGCCACUACCAAGACCACUCCUGACACAAAGCCCCCAAGUCCUCAACUGAUUGCAGCUGGAGAAGGAUAGACCAGGAACUUCAAAGUCAGGGCUUGCCGGUCUCCUACAAUAAGAAAAAUGCCAAGGGCCCAUCUAAUGAACUUGUUGCAGAAUAUUUGGCCACAGUUGUAGAAAAGCAGAGACUAACAUGCAGCCACAGGUGAGGCUUUGUCCACAUUUCCAGAAAGACACAAGAUAGUAUCAGAAAGCCAUGCCAAAAUCAACGACUGAAGGGUUUGGAGAGCCAUACAAAGAGCCUAGAAAUGUGAUUUCACCUGUACUUCAAUCACAUGAACAGCAGCAGGAGCAAAAACAGCAGCAACCACACAGGAGAUGUAACGACAGCAUUGACCAACAGCAGCUUAAAAAACUUCUGCAGG
Long non-coding RNA from Lytechinus pictus (painted urchin), 767 nucleotides. RefSeq lists it as uncharacterized. The record is from RefSeq and is a predicted model, not a curated record. The transcript has 4 exons. Lineage: Eukaryota; Metazoa; Echinodermata; Echinoidea; Temnopleuroida; Toxopneustidae.